AAAGAUUCAAAUAAAUUUUUAAGUCAUUUUAUUAUUUGUAUUUAUAUCAGUUUAAUGUUAUAGAAAAACUUUUCCUUAUUAAAAACACAUUAUUGGUCUAACAAAUGGAAUGACUUUUAUUUCAUUAAAUCAAUAAAUCAAUGAUGCGUUUUAAAAAAAAAAGCAAGAAUCAUGAAUGUAAUUAAUGUGAUAAUUGGGAUUAUCAUAUUUACAUAUGGUGUGUGGUCAACAAUUUUAUUAAUUUGGUUUAAUGAAAUAAAAUACGCAAAUGAGUUGGACCGGAUAAUUGGUUGUUCAAAAAAAUAUACAAAUGGAUUGCAUUGGACAGCUUUUUCUACAUGUACAAUUUUCAUUUUUUAUCAUCACUUUGGACAGAUUGUUUUUUGUCAUUAAUUUUAAUAACCACAUUAAAUUUCAAAUGCAUGAGGAAUGAGAAUAAAUGAGAAGAGGAAAGAGAAAGACAAAUAAAUCUGGUUUUAUCAUAUGCAUAGAUUUAUAGAUUAUAGAUAUAGAUAGAUUUCAUUGAAGGCAAAAUCAAAGGAGAUGUGUUGGUUGUUUUAAUCAGGCCAUAUGAUAUAGGAGAGAAAAAAUGAAAUCGGUUUAUAUAUGAUUACUUAUAGAGAAUUAUAUAAAUUAGAAAUUACUUAAAGUUUCUACAUUUUUUUUACUUAAGCUUUAAUAAUAAAAGAAUAAUAAUUUAUAUAUGUAUAUAUAUAUAUAUAUAUAUAUAUAUAUAUAUAUAUANNNNNNNNNNNNNUAUAUAUAUAUAUAUAUAUAUAUGUAGAUUUUUUUGAUCGGUAUAUAUAUGUAGAUUGAACCAAAAGAAUAAAGAAUGAGAGAUGAAAAAAUACGUAUAAAAAGAAUUUAAAAAAUAGAGAGUUCCAAAUUUUUAUUUUAUAACGAUAGAGAUGUUCAGUAAAUAUGUAAGAUAAAUAUAAUAUUUCAUCUUCUCAAUAACAGAGAGGUCCAUUAAUAUAGAUGUCUACUACAUGUAAUUGUUUCAUCUUCUUAACAUGUAAGAUAUAGAUGUCUAUUGUCAAAAAGAAAAGAAAAGAUAUAGAUGUCUAGAAAUACCAAUAUAAAAUAAAAACAACAUAUAUUGACCAAAUAAAUAAAUAAAAACCACAGAUUAAUCACAUAUAUAGAUGGUAUAACAUUCUUAUCUUUUUACUGGAUCAUGAAUCUGCAAUAAACAAUGAAAACAAUUAUAAUCAAAAUUAGAAACCAUGUAUUAAGGUUAUACAUGUUGCAAACACUCGAAUCAGGGUAUUCAAUUAUGAUAGAAAUGUAUAAAAAAUUACACCAAAAAAAAUGUCAUACAAAUAAGUCACACAAAAGAGGUGAAGAGAAAAAGAGAAUACCUAUGAUUGUUGUAGCUGGAAAAAAAAAAAUAGAUUAAACAAAAGUAUAAGAAGAUUAAAAUUGAUGUGAGGAAAAUUUGAUGAGAAAGUGAAUAAAAAAAAUAAAGACAAAAAAAGAGUGAUAUUACUANNNNNNNNNNNNNNNNNNNNNNNNNNNNNNNNNNNNNNNNNNNNGGUGAUAUCUACAUAUUGCUGGUAAAUAUAAAUCAAUAUCAAAAUAAUAGCAUGAUUAAUUAUAAUUGUAGGAAAAAUAAUACCUAUCACAUAAAUAAAAUG
This 1637-nucleotide long non-coding RNA is filed under the name Trifolium pratense (red clover). RNAcentral's name for it is "long non-coding RNA (TPRA_LNC006375)". The record is from RNAcentral. Lineage: Eukaryota; Viridiplantae; Streptophyta; Magnoliopsida; Fabales; Fabaceae.